RNAcentral lists this ribosomal RNA (253 nucleotides) under uncultured bacterium. Its description in RNAcentral is "partial 16S ribosomal RNA". It matches the Rfam family "Bacterial small subunit ribosomal RNA", at positions 524 to 776 of the family's 1533-position model. The record is from RNAcentral.
UACGUAGGGGGCAAGCGUUAUCCGGAUUUACUGGGUGUAAAGGGGGCGCAGACGGCAGCGCAAGCCAGGAGUGAAAGCCCGGGGCCCAACCCCGGGACUGCUCUUGGAACUGCGCGGCUGGAGUGCAGGAGGGGCAGGCGGAAUUCCUGGUGUAGCGGUGAAAUGCGUAGAUAUCAGGAGGAACACCGGUGGCGAAGGCGGCCUGCUGGACCGAAACUGACGUUGAGGCUCGAAAGCGUGGGGAGCAAACAGG